ACGGAAGGCAGCAGUGGGGAAUAUUGCACAAUGGGCGAAAGCCUGAUGCAGCGACGCCGCGUGAGUGAAGAAGUAUCUCGGUAUGUAUAGCUCUAUCAGCAGGGAAGAAAAUGACGGUACCUGACUAAGAAGCCCCGGCUAACUACGUGCCAGCAGCCGCGGUAAUACGUAGGGGGCAAGCGUUAUCCGGAUUUACUGGGUGUAAAGGGAGCGUAGACGGUUUGGCAAGUCUGAAGUGAAAUGCGGGGGCUCAACUCCUGAACUGCUUUGGAAACUGUCGAACUAGAGUGCAGGAGAGGUAAGUGGAAUUCCUAGUGUAGCGGUGAAAUGCGUAGAUAUUAGGAGGAACACCAGUGGCGAAGGCGGCUUACUGGACUGUAACUGACGUUGAGGCUCGAAAGCGUGGGGAGCAAACAGGAUUAGAUACCCUGGUA
Molecule: ribosomal RNA, 434 nt
Filed under: uncultured Lachnospiraceae bacterium
Lineage: Bacteria; Bacillati; Bacillota; Clostridia; Lachnospirales; Lachnospiraceae
Description: partial 16S ribosomal RNA
Rfam family: Bacterial small subunit ribosomal RNA
Source: RNAcentral